Pygocentrus nattereri (red-bellied piranha) is the source of this 420-nucleotide non-coding RNA. NCBI's taxonomy places the organism in Eukaryota, Metazoa, Chordata, Actinopteri, Characiformes, Serrasalmidae. The record is from the annotation of a RefSeq genome assembly.
AUGGCUUUGGUCUCCAUCUUCAUCUGGACGCUCACCCUCUGGACUCAAGGAUCCAGCGGUCAGGUGACGGUGACUCAGACUCCUGCAGUGAAAACUGUCUCUCCGGGAGACUCAGUGACCAUCAGCUGUAGAACCAGCCCUCCAGUAUAUCUUGAUAGCAAUGGGGAUUAUUAUAUGUUCUGGUAUCAGCAGAAACCUGGAGAAGCUCCUAAACUCCUGAUCUACUCGGCUAACAGGAAACAGUCAGGAGUUCCAGCUCGUUUCAGUGGCAGAGGAUCUGGAUCUGACUUCACUCUGACCAUCAGUAAUGUCCAGACUGAAGAUGCAGGAGAUUAUUACUGUCAGAGUCAACAUUAUAUCAGUGGUAGCUACGUGUUCCCACAGUGUUUAGUAGGUGUACAAAAACCCCCCUCAGUCCAG